This 199-nucleotide ribosomal RNA is filed under the name uncultured bacterium. RNAcentral's name for it is "partial 16S ribosomal RNA". It matches the Rfam family "Bacterial small subunit ribosomal RNA", at positions 328 to 539 of the family's 1533-position model. The record is from RNAcentral.
ACGCUCGACACCUACGGGGGGCAGCAGUUGGGAAUAUUGGACAAUGGAGGAAACUCUGAUCCAGUGACGCCGCGUGAAGGAAGAAGGUCUUCGGAUUGUAAACUUAUUUUGUCAGGGAAGAAAAAUGACUGUACCUGAAGAAAAAGCACCGGCUAACUACGUGCCAGUAGCCGCGGUAAUCUGAGCGGGCUGGCAAGGC